CACAGCACACUCCACACCCUUGGAAGAUGGAGAACCCUUCCUAGCCCCCCACUGAGUCCUGGAGGCAGCCAGUAGAAUGUUCUGGGUCUGAGACCCAAGUCAUUUUUCACCCUGAUCCUGCCCUCUCCUUGGUAGCUCUCAGAACUGACUCCUGAGGGAAGGCAAGUGUUUGAAUUGACUUUCUCCAAGGUUCUCACUCUUAGGAAGAUGCAGGUGGAGUUAUCUGUGAUUCUCCCUGUAGGUCAGAUUCCCACGUUGAAAUCCUCACCCGCGUGAAGAUGGUGUUAGGAGGUCAGACCUUUGGAAGGUGAUGAGGUCAUGAGGGUGGAGCCCCAACGAAUGGGAUUAGUGCCCUCAUGAAAGAGACACAAGAGAGAUGAUCUCUUUCCUCCGAUUGAGGACACAGCAGGAAGCCUGCCCGUCUGCAACCAAGAAGCCAGCCUGCAGCAGAAUCUGACGGUGCAGGCGCCCGGAUCUCA
Long non-coding RNA from Homo sapiens (human), 479 nucleotides. Ensembl annotates it as lncRNA associated with SART3 regulation of splicing. Its record names the gene LASTR. The record is from Ensembl. NCBI's taxonomy places the organism in Eukaryota, Metazoa, Chordata, Mammalia, Primates, Hominidae.